ACGGCUCAGUAACACGUGGCUAAUCUGCCCUUGGGAUAGGAACACCCCCGGGAAACUGGGGCUAAUUCCCAAUAGGUGAAGAACUCUGGAAUGAGUCUCCACCAGAAAAGACGUUUACGUUAUGCUCGUAGGCGUCGCCCAAGGAUGAGGCCGCGACCGAUCAGGCUGUUGGUGAGGUAAUGGCUCACCAAGCCUUUUACCGGUGCGGGCCGUGAGAGCGGGAGCCCGGAGAUGGGCACUGAGACAAGGGCCCAGGCCCUACGGGGCGCAGCAGUCGCGAAAACUUUGCAAUACACGAAAGUGUGACAGGGCUAUCCCGAGUGCCAUCCGCUGAGGAAGGCUUUUACCCAGUCUAGAACGCUGGGGGAAUAAGGAGAGGGCAAGUCUGGUGUCAGCCGCCGCGGUAAUACCAGCUCUCCGAGUGGUGUGGAUGUUUAUUGGGCCUAAAGCAUCCGUAGCUGGCUAAGUUAGUCCCUUGUUAAAUCCACCGAAUUAAUCGUUGGAUUGCGGGGGAUACUGCUUGGCUAGGGGACGAGAGAGGCAGACGGUAUUUCCGGGGUAGGGGUGAAAUCCUAUAAUCCCGGGAAGACCACCAGUGGCGAAGGCUGUCUGCUAGAACGCGCCCGACGGUGAGGGAUGAAAGCUGGGGGAGCGAACCGGAUUAGAUACCCGGGUAGUCCCAGCUGUAAACGAUGCAGGCUAGGUGUUUGGACGGCCACGUGCCGUUCUAGUGCCGCAGGGAAGCUGUUAAGCCUGCCGCCUGGGGAGUACGAUCGCAAGAUUGAAACUUAAAGGAAUUGGCGGGGGAG
Molecule: ribosomal RNA, 809 nt
Filed under: uncultured archaeon
Lineage: Archaea
Description: bacterial SSU rRNA
Rfam family: Archaeal small subunit ribosomal RNA
Source: RNAcentral